AGAGAAUGCUAAUGAGCUGUGAAAUGACCAAAGAUCUGGCAGCAGAAGGGAAAAGAAAAAAUAAUGGGAACAAGAGGAUUUAUCUGACUCAACUGGAGAUGGCUCCCUUCCCUAAUUUAUUGUUGCAUCCUGAAGCUUCCCCCAUGCUGGGCUCAGUGUGAACAAACAGCGCGGGAGAAUGCAACCACUGCAGAGGCAUAUGUUUGAGAUGCCUGGCCACUGGAGGUCAUCUCGUCUACUAUGUUCACCACAGAUAAAGAAUGAAAAGAGAAUAUACAACCUUGUGAUUGCUAGCAGUGAAAGCUCAGAGUUAUGACAUAACAAGUGGUUGAUCAUACUGUAAAACUCAAAUGUGAAGGGAAGGCUGGAACCUACUGGAAACUGAAUGAAGAUCUAACGAAAAGAAGGAACUUUUAGGAACUAGCAGAGACUUCAAAAUGUUGAGAACUCUCUUUUUUCAUAAGAGAAGAUAAAAACUCUGAUGGUCACACUCAUAAAGACAAAAAACAAAUAAAAAACAAACAAAAACUCAGAAUCACAAGAGCAAAGAAAAUGUAGGUAAAACAAUAACAGAAGAGGUAAAGAAAUUUAUGUGAAUUGGGACACUCUGGGGCACAGAACAGAAGAGGAGAAGAAACAUGAAAGUAAUGCUCUGCACAAGGAUGUCUGAGUGUCCUUGAUUCCAAGGGCAUUUAAAAUUAGCCACUGGAUGAGAACCAUGAAAUGCCAUGACUCUUACAGCUCCCAUGAAAGACAUUGGAUGGAACUUAUCCUAACUGGACCAAAUUCUAAAAAAUUUUACAUGAUAUUAUAAUGAGUUGAAAGUUGAAAAAAAAAAACUCUUCUAGAUUACCAAGAAUAAAACACAAAUUUCUAGCUGACUGAAUUAAUUCUCAUUUCUCUAUAGAAAGAUCAUAGAAAUUUUUUUUUAUCAUGCAAAGAAAUAGCUAAAAAUUUACAAAAAUAUAGACGUGCGUUAGGCAGCUCAUGAGUAAAUGCGUUUUUUCCUUUUUUCCUCCAGAAUUUUGUGAUGUUUAUGAUACUUUUUGGCUUUUAAAAUUUUGUAUUUAAUCAGGAUUUAUUACUUCAUUGUAAGUAAAUAUUAAAUUUGUACUCCAUCUUUGUUUGUAAUUUUGUAUAUUUUUCAGUAAAAAGGACUCCCCAGAUUAUG
This 1171-nucleotide long non-coding RNA is filed under the name Pan troglodytes (chimpanzee). Its description in RNAcentral is "long non-coding RNA NONPTRT010065". Lineage: Eukaryota; Metazoa; Chordata; Mammalia; Primates; Hominidae. The record is from RNAcentral.